Molecule: ribosomal RNA, 464 nt
Filed under: uncultured bacterium
Lineage: Bacteria
Description: partial 16S ribosomal RNA
Rfam family: Bacterial small subunit ribosomal RNA
Source: RNAcentral
CCUACGGGAGGCUGCAGUAGGGAAUUUUCGUCAAUGGGCGCAAGCCUGAACGAGCGAUGCCGCGUGAGUGAAGAAGGCCUUCGGGUCGUAAAGCUCUGUUGCGGGGGAAAAAAGGCAGCAUCAGGAAAUGGGUGCUGACUGAUGGUGCCCCGCCAGAAAGUCACGGCUAACUACGUGCCAGCAGCCGCGGUAAUACGUAGGUGGCGAGCGUUAUCCGGAUUUAUUGGGUUUAAAGGGUGCGCAGGCGGAUUUUUAAGUCAGCGGUCAAAUCGUGGGGCUCAACCCCAUCCAGCCGUUGAAACUGGGGAUCUAGAGUGUGCGAGAGGUAUGCGGAAUGCGUGGUGUAGCGGUGAAAUGCAUAGAUAUCACGCAGAACCCCGAUUGCGAAGGCAGCAUACCGGUGCACAACUGACGCUCAGGCACGAAAGCGUGGGUAUCGAACAGGAUUAGAUACCCCAGUAGUC